GGUGGAAAGAUUUAUCGGUGCRGGAUGGGCCCGCGGCCUAUCAGCUUGUUGGUGGGGUAAUGGCCUACCAAGGCGACGACGGGUAGCCGACCUGAGAGGGUGACCGGCCACACUGGGACUGAGACACGGCCCAGACUCCUACGGGAGGCAGCAGUGGGGAAUAUUGCACAAUGGGCGAAAGCCUGAUGCAGCGACGCCGCGUGAGGGAUGACGGCCUUCGGGUUGUAAACCUCUUUCAGCAGGGACGAAGCGCAAGUGACGGUACCUGCAGAAGAAGCACCGGCUAACUACGUGCCAGCAGCCGCGGUAAUACGUAGGGUGCAAGCGUUGUCCGGAAUUACUGGGCGUAAAGAGUUCGUAGGCGGUUUGUCGCGUCGUUUGUGAAAACCAGCAGCUCAACUGCUGGCUUGCAGGCGAUACGGGCAGACUUGAGUACUGCAGGGGAGACUGGAAUUCCUGGUGUAGCGGUGAAAUGCGCAGAUAUCAGGAGGAACACCGGUGGCGAAGGCGGGUCUCUGGGCAGUAACUGACGCUGAGGAACGAAAGCGUGGGUAGCGAACAGGAUUAGAUACCCUGGUAGUCCACGCCGUAAACGGUGGGCGCUAGGUGUGGGUUCCUUCCACGGAAUCCGUGCCGUAGCUAACGCAU
RNAcentral lists this ribosomal RNA (648 nucleotides) under uncultured Rhodococcus sp. RNAcentral describes it as "bacterial SSU rRNA". It matches the Rfam family "Bacterial small subunit ribosomal RNA", at positions 198 to 860 of the family's 1533-position model. The record is from RNAcentral. Lineage: Bacteria; Bacillati; Actinomycetota; Actinomycetes; Mycobacteriales; Nocardiaceae.